CUCAAGUAACUAUUAAGAUUAUUACUUUCACAUUUAUUUUGAGUUAAUUUUUUUUAAUAAGUACUUGUACUUUUACUUGAGUACAGGUUUGGAUACUCUACCCACCUCUGUAUGUCCAAAAUCAACAGUAUUUUAAAUCUCUUCCACACUGGUAAAAAACAAAAAACAAAAACAAAACAAAAAACAAGGUGGGGUGAUAUUAUCGUCACAUGUUCAUUACAAGAUUUGCAAAAGCAGAACCCUUUCAGAGCAGUGUGUUUCACUUGAAGUAACAACAACUAAUAUUCUUACAUUUAACUCCAGCAGACUGAAUGUCAUCUUAUGGCAAUAUGAACAUUCCCUCCUUUACACAUGGGAUGUACAGAGAAGAUGAAGAAGAGAUGGAUAUCUAUGCUAAUGCUGAUCCUAUAAACAGGACAGAAACGGAGAACUCCAAGAGACACCAAACACCUCAACACACAGAAAUGGCUUGUGUGAAGAUCAGAAGCUCCAGAGCAGCUGCAGUGUGUUUGGUGCUGCUGUGUGUUCUUCUGCUGACUGCAAGUCAUAGUGCUGGUUGUCUACAUCCAUACAAAGAGCACAAACUACACAGAACAGAAAAACCAGCUACUAAACAUGAUUACCAACCUCACAGAAGAGAGAGAUCAGCUACUAACCAAAAAUACCAACCUUACUGAGGAGAGAGGCCAACUACUAACCAAUAUCACCAACCUCACAGAAGAGAGAGACCAGCUACUAACUAAGAGCAUCCAAUUGACUAAAAGAGAGAAAUGUAUUGAUUAAACAAAGAGAACAGUCUAAAUGUCUUUGUGAAAAGGUUGGAUGGACGAGGUAUAAAUCCAGUUAUUACUAUGUUUCUUCUGAGGUGAAGAACUGGACUGAGAGCAGAAGAUACUGUACAGACAGAGGAGCAGAUCUGAUCAUCAUAAACAACAAAGCGGAACAAG
This is a long non-coding RNA of Megalobrama amblycephala (Wuchang bream), 947 nucleotides long. RefSeq lists it as uncharacterized. The transcript has 3 exons. NCBI's taxonomy places the organism in Eukaryota, Metazoa, Chordata, Actinopteri, Cypriniformes, Xenocyprididae. The record is from RefSeq and is a predicted model, not a curated record.